AUCUUCGGCAAUGGACGCAAGUCUGACGGAGAGACGCCGCGUGAGUGAUGAAGGUAUACGGAUCGUACAACUCUGUUGUUAGGGAAGAACAAGUAUCGGAGUCACUGCCGGUACUUUGACGGUACCUGACGACAAGUCCACGCCUAACUUCGUUCCAGCAGCCGCGGUAAUACGUAGUUGGCAAGCUUUGUCCGGAUUUAUUUGUCGUAAAGCGCGCGCAGGCGGUUUCUUAAGUCUGAUGUGAAAGCCCACGGCUCAACCGUGGAGGGUCAUUGGAAACUGGGAAGCUUGAGUGCAGAAGAGGAGAGUGGAAUUCCAUGUGUAGCGGUGAAAUGCGUAGAGAUAUGGAGGAACACCAGUGGCGAAGGCGACUCUCUGGUCUGCAACUGACGCUGAGGCGCGAAAGCGUGGGGAGCGAACA
This 421-nucleotide ribosomal RNA is filed under the name uncultured bacterium. RNAcentral describes it as "partial 16S ribosomal RNA". It matches the Rfam family "Bacterial small subunit ribosomal RNA", at positions 361 to 774 of the family's 1533-position model. The record is from RNAcentral.